This is a non-coding RNA of Hepatocystis sp. ex Piliocolobus tephrosceles, 73 nucleotides long. The record is from the annotation of a GenBank genome assembly. Lineage: Eukaryota; Apicomplexa; Aconoidasida; Haemosporida; Plasmodiidae.
GCCACUUUAGCAUAGUUGGUAAUGCGUGUGAUUCGUAAUCACAAGAUCGGGGGUUCGAUUCCCUCAGGUGGCU